RNAcentral lists this small RNA (28 nucleotides) under Bombyx mori (domestic silkworm). RNAcentral's name for it is "ovarian small RNA-26922". The record is from RNAcentral. Lineage: Eukaryota; Metazoa; Arthropoda; Insecta; Lepidoptera; Bombycidae.
UCCAUAUCACUAUCAUCACUGCUACAAA